UACGGAGGGUGCAAGCGUUAUCCGGAUUCACUGGGCUUAAAGGGCGCGUAGGUGGGCAAGUAAGUCAGUGGUGAAAUCUCCGGGCUUAACCCGGAAACUGCCAUUGAUACUAUUUGUCUUGAAUACUGUGGAGGUCAGCGGAAUAUGUCAUGUAGCGGUGAAAUGCUUAGAUAUGACAUAGAACACCAAUUGCGAAGGCAGCUGGCUACACAAAUAUUGACACUGAGGCACGAAAGCGUGGGGAUCAAACAGG
This 253-nucleotide ribosomal RNA is filed under the name uncultured bacterium. RNAcentral describes it as "partial 16S ribosomal RNA". It matches the Rfam family "Bacterial small subunit ribosomal RNA", at positions 524 to 776 of the family's 1533-position model. The record is from RNAcentral.